AGAGUUUGAUCAUGGCUCAGAAUCAACGCUGGCGGCGUGCCUAACACAUGCAAGUCGAACGAGAAAGUGGAGCAAUCCAUGAGUAAAGUGGCGCACGGGUGAGUAACACGUGACUAACCUACCCUGGAGUGGGGGAUAACUGAGGGAAACCUUAGCUAAUACCGCAUAAUACCUACGGGUCAAAGGAGCAAUUCGCUUCAGGAGGGGGUCGCGGCCGAUUAGUUAGUUGGCGGGGUAAUGGCCCACCAAGACAGUGAUCGGUAUCCGGCCUGAGAGGGCGCACGGACACACUGGAACUGAAACACGGUCCAGACUCCUACGGGAGGCAGCAGUGGGGAAUUUUGCGCAAUGGGGGAAACCCUGACGCAGCAACGCCGCGUGGAGGAUGAAGUCCUUCGGGACGUAAACUCCUUUCGAUCGGGACGAUUAUGACGGUACCGGAAGAAGAAGCCCCGGCUAACUUCGUGCCAGCAGCCGCGGUAAUACGAGGGGGGCGAGCGUUGUUCGGAAUUAUUGGGCGUAAAGGGUGCGUAGGCGGUUUUGUAAGUCUUAUGUGAAAUCUAUGGGCUCAACUCAUAGACUGCAUGAGAAACUGCAGGGCUUGAGUAUGGGAGAGGUGAGUGGAAUUCCUGGUGUAGCGGUGAAAUGCGUAGAUAUCAGGAGGAACACCUGUGGCGAAAGCNNNUCACUGGACCAUAACUGACGCUGAUGCACGAAAGCGGGAGCNCAGGAUUAGAUACCCUAGUAGUCC
This 751-nucleotide ribosomal RNA is filed under the name uncultured bacterium. RNAcentral describes it as "bacterial SSU rRNA". It matches the Rfam family "Bacterial small subunit ribosomal RNA", at positions 8 to 797 of the family's 1533-position model. The record is from RNAcentral.